AAGCCCUGGCGCGCCCAUUCUCUCUCUCUUCCUCUAUCUGUCUUUCUCUCUGUGUCUGUCGCUCUCAAAUAAAUAAAUAAAAACUUAAAAAAAAAAAGAAGUCCAAGAUGUACACGUGAAAAGACAAGGAGCAGCUGCAUGCCACCCGAGGCUCUGGGCGACGUGACUGCAUCAUGACGACAGCGUGAAAGAGGGCUGAGAAAACGGCUGUGGUCUAAAGCCAGCCAAGGUCAGGAGGUUAUGAAACAAAAGGCCACUAUCGUCUCCAGUUUCCUCCCACUGGCAGCCUGUGGAGUGCCUACCCCCUUCAAACACACAUGGGCCAACUGUGGUCAACCUUCAUGGGACCAGGAUUUACACUGUGGUCACCCACGCAGAGCCAAGAUCCCCACUGUGUGGACUAGAAAUUCUUGAUUGCACAGGGAAUGUUUCACCAAUUCUCACCUCUGCCUUAAUUCACUGUGUAAGAAGGAAAUGAGCUACCAUUUGUAGCCAAGACCAACUCGGCACCCAGUAUUGAAAACAGUCAUCAGUAUUAUCUUAGUUCCUUACAACUCACUGGGACUUUAAACUUCAUUUUUGUUAUUUGAAGUUGAGAAUAUUUCUAGUCCUUAUUUUAAAAAUCACCUUAGGAUGAUGUUAUUUGUAACUGUAAACAUCUGCGUAUGUACUGCUGGGCUUCUCAAGUAACCAGGUUUUCACAUCAGCCCAGCCCUGGGUUUGCAAAAUUUCAUCUUGCAGGCCUUACUUAAAUCCCGAUACUCUUUCAAUCAGCGUUCACUCUGUCCAUGGUGUUCUCCGACAUGUACCAAAAUGCAGCGGGAGGCAUCAGAUGGCACUGAGACUGAGCCUGGGUCCCAGACCUUGACACUAAACAGUGAAUGCACUGCCCUUGCAGACUCACCCAGUGCUGUAACAGCCUCCAUUCUAAUACACAAAGCUCAAGGACUCCAGGGACGGAAACACACUUCCAACACCAGUUCUGGCUGCUGUGGUAAGAAUGAAGUGCAGCCUCUGCUCUACCCUCCUCCCCAUGCCAUCACGAAGCUGCCUUGAGAGUGUAAGCCAAAGUGAGCCCUUUCCUCCUGUCUGCUGCUUUGGUCGGUGCUUUGUCCGAGCAAUGUGAAGGUCAGUACACAACCAUCUCAAAAAAUGAAAAGCUGCUUCUUACAACCCAAGCUCCUGGAGGUCCUGUGUACCCUUUUUCCACAGUAGAUACUGACUGUAAAGCAACCAAGGAUGCUCCCUUUAGCAGUACAUACACUUAAAUUUGCUUUUGGCAAUUAUUUGGGGGGGGGGUCUAUGUGUAGUAUGCAUAUGUUUGUGUGGUAUGUUUGGCAGUCACUCUUCAUCUCGAGACAUCUCACCAAUUUAGCUAAACUGGCUAGCUAACAAGUCCUUGGGCCCUCCUGGGUCUCUUGCCCCAGCACCUAGAGCACAGGCAUGGGCUAUGGCACCCAGCUUUUCCAGGCCACUGGGAAUCUGGUCUCACUGCUGUGGUGAAUGAGGAAUCGGGAGCUGACAGGAAAAUGCAGCUUUCUUCUGCUUCAGCCACUUGUCGUGCACCCUUGCUGCUACGUGAGACACGCUUGCUGCUGCCCGAGUUAAAGCAGGCCCACUGCUGCAGGUGCCUUCCCACCACCAGGACAGAGCUCCUGGCCCAGAGCACUGACGCAAGGAAGUUCUUUGGUUGGAGAAGGAUGGUGGAGACUGGACCUAACCUCUGCCCCAGCAAUAGCUGAGCUACUUCUAAGUGCGUCCCCACAACACACUUGCUCCAGCAUGACUCCACAUCCCAACUAGCAACAGCUGGGAACCACCCACUCAGAACCCAUGAGUUUAUGGGGGACAUCUGACUCAAACCACAACAGCUGAGAGCUUCCUGUGACUCUAAGGGAGGUGCGUGUGUGCACUUUUGGUGCCUGGGCACCCUGGACUCAGCUUCCUCAUCUGCGCAUACUGACUGCUUGGACAGGGACAGGGCUCACUCUCCCCAGUGACGAGGCUUUGGCUAGCAGUAAUUGCUCGGCUAUCCUUCUCAGGCUCACGAGACACCUUCACAGAUUUGAUUCACUGACUGGCUUUCAGCAGGGACCUUUCCAUCUGCCAUGUCUAUUGUUAGGUCCCUGCCGCUCUGGGUCUUGGGCCUGGCCAGCCUUCUUCUUCUGGCAGGCUGGGGACUCCCCACGGUGUGAAAAAGAAGAAGAAUCAAACAAACACAAUCUGAUCAUGGCUCACUCCAGAGAGAGGGCCAGGACAGACGCCUAGCAGGGUCACAGUUGUUAUGCUGUCUUGGUAGUUGGGAUAAUGCAUCAAGCACAAGGAACUGCUAAACUUAGUGGAACAAUCAUGGUUCUUUAACCAACCUGAAGUCUAAUUCAGGCAGCUUCUUGUUACAACACGCCCGUGAGAGCCAUGGGGUGGCCCCAUUCCCAGUGGAGCUGGCUUAGCCAUGGUCCUGGGUGCAGCUUGGCAGGACGAGAGUUAAGGAUGACGGGGAGCUCUGGCCCUGCCAAGUACCCGGUGUCUUCCAGCCUCUUCCACCACCAUCCACCCCUCAUAAAAGGUCUGUGUGCUUCAAAGGUAGAGGGGGAGGAUGGCAGUGCAGCCAUGAGCACUCUGAACAGGUGGGCAGGCGCUCUCCAGAAGAGCCAGUGCUCCAGAUCACCACCAUCCCUUCAGACACACAUACUCAGACCCAAAGAGUGAAUAGUUAAGUCCUUUACUGCCAUGACGUCACAGCAUCAGCAUUUGUACACUGCACGGAAAGACACUUCUUCAACACUGGAAGUCACGCUGCAGGUGUGGGGACAGCUACUGUAUGUCUUGUCACUAAAGAACAAGGCAAGAAUUCUGAGCACUUAAUUGCUUGGCAUUAUAAAGUUUUGUUCUCUCCAGUUUUUAGUAAGCAAAUCCCAACUGAUAAUACACACAUUAUUUCAGAUUACUGGAGAUAAACUCAUUAUUGGAAAUUAUUUAACUAGUGGCACAUUUUAUGAAAAGAAAUAAAAUAUUGAGCACUUGUAUAUAAGGCUUCAGAGAGUUGGUUUGGGGAGUCUUGGCUAUCUCUGGACAGAUGGUAGGGUGGGUAAACAUGCCGUGCCUCCUCAGCAAGACCAUAUGCUGAUGGGGUGUGUGACGCCGUAGCAGUGGCAGGAUGGUGGGUUCUCACCACUGCUAUGCAGAUGCCUGCUUGCUCCUCCUGGAAGUAAUCAGAGACAGACAAUGAGGAGCAGAUCCCACUGCCAACUGCAGAGGCUCAGUGUGCUUUUAGAGGACACCUGUAUGUAACACGUCUGUAACACUGGUUAGCGUCCAGGUUAAUAAGUCAGCGUUCCCAGACUCACCCCAGCUCCCCACUACCUCUGACCAAGACCUUAACUUCACCCACACCAAUUCCUCCAAACAAAUCCACCAAGGUGUGCUUACUGGAAGUUGAUAAGCCGUCCUCCCUGAAUGAGCUGGGCCACUUCAUUUGUUGCGUGGCACGCAAACAGAAGCCAGUUUCGAGGCUGCACUUUGUAAGCAAACCUCAUGAACGUCAAAGAGUAGCAACAGAGGGCUGGAAAACAUCAAAGCAAAGGACGUGAGAACCUAGGGAACAGGCUAAAGGAACCACGAGGUCAAGGGUCACCACUGGUCGAAACGAGCCUGCCGAGCCUUGGCGGAUAGCAAACACUGCUGCUCACACACCUGAGAAGAGCACGCACGGCAGCUCUGUGUACUACCUGCAUGCUGCUUGUUUCUUAUGAAAACACUGCAGAGCAGAUUGUUAGCAAGAACAGUCAGCACCAGUUCUUGCCUGUCCCGCUGCCUGCUAGCACUGCUUCCAAGCCAUCCCUGAAGGAACUGCUACACCCUGAGACUUCCCGUCAACUUCAGCACAGCUUGAGUUUAUAGUCCAGACCUGCUGGGCUGGCUGCCAGGAGGACUAAGAUGACACUCCCUCGAAGUGGACCUAGCAAGUAGGUGCUACUCUCACUUCUGCUCUGCCUUCUGGAGGUGGCACAUUCAGUGCCUUUCUAAUGGGCAUAUCUGGUGCCACAAAACUGAGACGUGUGCAGGAGCCACAUAAUGUGUACCCUCCUCCCUUGCCCAGUGCGCACUCUUACCAAACGUCAUCCGCCCACUGAUGAUCUCUGGAGACUUCUUCAUGUCGUUGAUGGCAGCAACAGGGAGACCCCAGUUGGCAACUGGACCCCAGAAGUGCUACAAAACAAUGAAAGGAGGAGAAGCAGGAAGGAGAGGAAAGUGAGGUGGACCCAAGAUCAGCUGCAUUUCCCUCCCAUGAAACACCAGAGAAUGUGGAGAGAAUCCGGUUCUCUAGGUACACUGCAGAGGGUUAGCACUAGGGACUGAGGUUCCCUUGUUGUCUCAGGAGCCAGCAAUUCUUAUUGGGGAGCUGAAUGCUACCAAGGAUUUGGCUGCUUGCAAAGGUCCCUACCAAGUCCCACAUUAUAACUCAGAGAAUUAAGAAUGAGACCUUCUUAUACAGUCUAUUCUUGGAUCAAGUAAACAUUGAUGGAACUACUGUUUGUGGUAUGUUUCAGUUUAUAAAUUCUUUUUUUUUUGCAAGUUUUCAUUAUCUUGUAACAACUUGAAAUGCAGACCUGAAACUGGAUACUUUUUUGAGGAAAAAGUCUUAGUAAGGAAGAGAAUUUUUCAACUCACAUUAACUACUGACUAAGAACUUAGAAACCUAUACUCCGAGUCCCAGAUACCAGGAAGUUAAGACUGGAAAGUAACUUUGAAGUAAUAGCAAAAACUGAGAGCUGUCUGUUUAACAAUGACAAUGUCCAAUUUAACUUAAUUUCUUAAGUUAACAUGAAUUAAGCUGGUGGCUUUUGCCAAUUAAACUGAAAUUGUUCGUAUAAAGUUUGUAAAUGUUUUAAAAUCUGGAAAAGAUCACGUACUGUGGCUGUAUGUCCCUUAGUCAUCGGAAGCCACCAAUGGACUUCUGUCUGCCAGCACUUAAGACAAAUGUGCAUUUUGGGUAAAUUUAUAAACCUUGCUUUCCUAUUGUUGACUAGGGUCAUUAAAAUCUAAAAAUCACAAUAAGCCAGAAGCCAAGGGAAAAUAAACAAGGAUUACAUUUAGCAUGAUUUAAGAAUACUUUGAAAUGUUUACUUAGCACACUUUAAUGUAAGCCCUCAGGCGUGUGGUUUAUAUAACUCUGCCAACAUUAACAUCCCGCUAGCACGUAAGAACUUCGCAGUUUAACAGGCUCUGUUGGUUUAGGGAACCAAAGAUUCUUGCAUUACCACUGUACUGCUUGAGUAAGCUCCUCACUGCACAAGCCUUCCUUUCUUGUAUCCGGUGAGACAGGGCCACUUUCCCCUUCCAUAGACCUCUGUAAGGAUAAGUACUUCCUUUUCCUACCCAUACUUUAAAUGGGUGCCACUGCAUUUCUCACCUUUCUGCUGGUCCAUGGUAAUCUUCCUUUGUCUCCUUCCACCCUGCCUGGUCUAGUCUCAUCCCCCCCCCCGCCCCCCCCCGCCAAUGUAAUCUGUCUGCUGCUCUGCACUGCGUGGCUGUCCUGAUGUCUACUCGAGAAUAUUCUGCCAGGGGCUCACCAAUCCUGACUGACUGCCACCAGGUCACACUGCCCUGCCCAAAGCAGGGGCAGGAAGCAGCACAGAAUUGAAACCUGCAGGAGCCCUGGGGGAUUUCUAGUGAUAGUGAUGAAAUGUUUGAUUGCAUGACAGUUCUGCAAGCUAAGAACUGUUCACAGCUCUGUGUGGCUGUAAGCAUUACGCUACACUUAAAUAUACUCCUUGGAAACACAAAGGGUGUUGGGCGGGAGGUGCAUCGUCUAAUGCCAGCACUCAGGAAGUCAAGGCAGGAGGACAAUGAGUCCAAAGUCAGCCUGGGCUACACAGUAAAUCUGUUUCAAACAAAAAGGGCAGAAAUCCCUCCAACCCGGAAACUUUAUAAUGCAUACUUGCUCUAAGGUGCACAAUUUUGAUUCUGUCUUCCCUUUUUUGGAAUCUGAUCUAUGCUGACAGAAAUUCUAGAAUAAGUAAUUUCAUGAUUAAUAUCUGAAAGGAGAAAAUCAUCCUAUUUUGGAUUAAAUGGGAAAGGAACUUAUUAAUUGUGGCUAUAAGUUGAAACAAAACUGAGCAGCACUGUGUGAGAUCUAUAUCUAUGUUGGAAAGCAGGCCAUGGAAAAGAGCUCUGUGCCGCAGGAGGACCAUGGCCUCUGCUUCCCCCUUGCUCCCUCCCUCCUUCCCUUUUCCUGAGUGCUGUCAGUGAAGCCACUGCAGGUACCUUUUUAGCCACAGGAGAGAGCUGUGGUCCCACACUGGGUCCUCACCGAGGCAGGGCACAGGAACAUCUCACUCACCUACAGCUCACCCUCUAGCAGGCAGUUACACAGCCUCCCCACAAGCAUAAGUCACCAUGUGACUUCACCCACAUGCACCCUCCAAGCAGGAGGGCUAGACAGGGUCUCCAAGCCAAGGAUGCCCUGUCUGUCCUUUCACUGUUACAGGAAAGGCUGCAGGAACCCAGAAUGGAUACAAGCUUCUUACCGUACUAUUUUGUGAGGAGUCACCAUGUUCAGACAGGAGACAUAGAGGGAACAAGAUGAAACAAAACAUCAGAUGCUUUCUCACAGUGCCAUCGUUAGUUCAAAUUCACAUGCUUCCAAGUUUUACCACAGAGCAAGCAACAAAUACUUUCUUCCUUUCUGUCUGAAAAUAUCAAGUACCAUAUCUAAUAAUAGCUCUGACCUAACCAAAUCACGUCUAGAGUAUGAGAAAUAAGCUUCAUCUUCACAGUGGAGCUGACCAAUAGAAACAAAUGCAAGUAAAACUCUCAACCAAUGUUAUUCUAAAACUUUCUGUAAGUAGAAUUUAAAUUAUCCUAACAUGUUAAAAUAUUUUAUUUUGAACGUAUCAAUAAAUAUUAGAUAUUUUACAUUC
Molecule: long non-coding RNA, 6923 nt
Organism: Jaculus jaculus (lesser Egyptian jerboa)
Lineage: Eukaryota; Metazoa; Chordata; Mammalia; Rodentia; Dipodidae
Exons: 2
Source: RefSeq, a predicted model, not a curated record